Molecule: long non-coding RNA, 539 nt
Organism: Rhineura floridana
Lineage: Eukaryota; Metazoa; Chordata; Lepidosauria; Squamata; Rhineuridae
Exons: 3
Source: RefSeq, a predicted model, not a curated record
CCUUGGUUCUCUUAAAUUGAUCAUCAACUAAUUGAAUAAUUUGGAGGAGAUUUCAAAAGUAUUUUGGUUAAAGCUCCUGCUGUUGUAGAAAACAAGGUAGAACUCCCACCACAUCUUGCAGUGAUUCCUGGUCAUCAACCCAGUUAGAAGGAUACAUGCAACAGUGAGAUAGGAGACAAGAGCCCUUCAAAGGGGUAAGAAGAAGCCCCCAGCAUAAGCUGCUCAAGGACAUGUGUCCCUCCCCAGUUAGACUCAAGGCAAGCAAGAGGCAUUAUCGGAGCUCCUGGACACGUUCUAGCCAGCAAAAACAUAAGAGGAACCCUGCUGGAUCAGGCCAGUGGCUCAUCUACUCUAGGCUCAUGGUGGCCAACCAGAUGCCUAUGGGAAGCCUGCAAGCAGGACCUGUGUGCAUUCAAGGAGGUUGCAAAACAGGGUCAAUGAGGGAAGUGGCCUGGGGAGAAGGGAUGUGGCCCACUGGCAAAAUGACCACAAGGUGUCAGGGAUGUCAGGAUCCUAUUCCCCACCCCAUUCUAUCCUAA